UACGGAGGGUGCAAGCGUUAUCCGGAUUCACUGGGUUUAAAGGGUGCGUAGGCGGGUAAGUAAGGACGUGGUGAAAUCUCUGAGCUUAACUCAGAAACUGCCGUGGAUACUAUUUGCCUUGAAUAUUGUGGAGGUGAGCGGAAUAUGUCAUGUAGCGGUGAAAUGCUUAGAUAUGACAUAGAACACCAAUUGCGAAGGCGGCUCACUACACAAUCAUUGACGCUGAGGCACGAAAGCGUGGGGAUCAAACAGG
Molecule: ribosomal RNA, 253 nt
Filed under: uncultured bacterium
Lineage: Bacteria
Description: partial 16S ribosomal RNA
Rfam family: Bacterial small subunit ribosomal RNA
Source: RNAcentral